Molecule: ribosomal RNA, 1418 nt
Filed under: Salmonella enterica
Lineage: Bacteria; Pseudomonadati; Pseudomonadota; Gammaproteobacteria; Enterobacterales; Enterobacteriaceae
Also listed under: 1 other name
Description: partial 23S ribosomal RNA
Rfam family: Bacterial large subunit ribosomal RNA
Source: RNAcentral
UGUGUGUUCCAGGUAAAUCCGGUUCACUUUAACACUGAGGCGUGAUGACGAGGCACCACGGUGCUGAAGCAACAAAUGCCCUGCUUCCAGGAAAAGCCUCUAAGCAUCAGGUAACAUCAAAUCGUACCCCAAACCGACACAGGUGGUCAGGUAGAGAAUACCAAGGCGCUUGAGAGAACUCGGGUGAAGGAACUAGGCAAAAUGGUGCCGUAACUUCGGGAGAAGGCACGCUGACACGUAGGUGAAGUGAUUUACUCACGGAGCUGAAGUCAGUCGAAGAUACCAGCUGGCUGCAACUGUUUAUUAAAAACACAGCACUGUGCAAACACGAAAGUGGACGUAUACGGUGUGACGCCUGCCCGGUGCCGGAAGGUUAAUUGAUGGGGUCAGCGCAAGCGAAGCUCCUGAUCGAAGCCCCGGUAAACGGCGGCCGUAACUAUAACGGUCCUAAGGUAGCGAAAUUCCUUGUCGGGUAAGUUCCGACCUGCACGAAUGGCGUAAUGAUGGCCAGGCUGUCUCCACCCGAGACUCAGUGAAAUUGAACUCGCUGUGAAGAUGCAGUGUACCCGCGGCAAGACGGAAAGACCCCGUGAACCUUUACUAUAGCUUGACACUGAACAUUGAGCCUUGAUGUGUAGGAUAGGUGGGAGGCUUUGAAGCGUGGACGCCAGUCUGCGUGGAGCCGACCUUGAAAUACCACCCUUUAAUGUUUGAUGUUCUAACGUGGACCCGUAAUCCGGGUUGCGGACAGUGUCUGGUGGGUAGUUUGACUGGGGCGGUCUCCUCCUAAAGAGUAACGGAGGAGCACGAAGGUUGGCUAAUCCUGGUCGGACAUCAGGAGGUUAGUGCAAUGGCAUAAGCCAGCUUGACUGCGAGCGUGACGGCGCGAGCAGGUGCGAAAGCAGGUCAUAGUGAUCCGGUGGUUCUGAAUGGAAGGGCCAUCGCUCAACGGAUAAAAGGUACUCCGGGGAUAACAGGCUGAUACCGCCCAAGAGUUCAUAUCGACGGCGGUGUUUGGCACCUCGAUGUCGGCUCAUCACAUCCUGGGGCUGAAGUAGGUCCCAAGGGUAUGGCUGUUCGCCAUUUAAAGUGGUACGCGAGCUGGGUUUAGAACGUCGUGAGACAGUUCGGUCCCUAUCUGCCGUGGGCGCUGGAAGACUGAGGGGGGCUGCUCCUAGUACGAGAGGACCGGAGUGGACGCAUCACUGGUGUUCGGGUUGUCAUGCCAAUGGCACUGCCCGGUAGCUAAAUGCGGAAAAGAUAAGUGCUGAAAGCAUCUAAGCACGAAACUUGCCCCGAGAUGAGUCUUCCCUGAGACUUUGAGUCUCCUGAAGGAACGUUAAAGACGAUGACGUUGAUAGGCCGGGUGUGUAAGCGCAGCGAUGCGUUGAGCUAACCGGUACUAAUGAACCGUGAGG